AGAACGAACGCUGGCGGCAUGCCUAAUACAUGCAAGUCGAACGAGAUCCUUCGGGGUCUAGUGGCGCACGGGUGCGUAACGCGUGGGAAUCUACCCUUGGGUUCGGAAUAACAGUUGGAAACGACUGCUAAUACCGGAUGAUGACGAAAGUCCAAAGAUUUAUCGCCCAGGGAUGAGCCCGCGUAGGAUUAGCUAGUUGGUGAGGUAAAGGCUCACCAAGGCUACGAUCCUUAGCUGGUCUGAGAGGAUGAUCAGCCACACUGGGACUGAGACACGGCCAGACUCCUACGGGAGGCAGCAGUAGGGAAUAUGGACAAUGGGGGCAACCCUGAUCCAGCAAUGCCGCGUGAGUGAUGAAGGCCUUAGGUUGUAAAGCUCUUUUACCCGAGAUGAUAAUGACAGUAUCGGAAGAAUAAGACUCCGGCUAAACUCCGUGCCAGCGAGCCGC
Molecule: ribosomal RNA, 448 nt
Filed under: uncultured soil bacterium
Lineage: Bacteria
Description: bacterial SSU rRNA
Rfam family: Bacterial small subunit ribosomal RNA
Source: RNAcentral